This 17370-nucleotide long non-coding RNA is filed under the name Vigna radiata. Its description in RNAcentral is "long non-coding RNA (VRAD_LNC010231)". The record is from RNAcentral. Lineage: Eukaryota; Viridiplantae; Streptophyta; Magnoliopsida; Fabales; Fabaceae.
UGUCAAUUUACGUUAGAAUCCCAAGUUAGGCACUUCAUAGAGCUAUAUCCCAUUUUUUGGCCCACACUACAGGGGUCUUUUCAAAGCUUCUAGCCCCAAUAGCCCAUUAAAUGGGUUGGUAUUGAAUCAGGGUCCGGUUAAGCCCCUGACCCCGAAAACUUAUGUUCAAACCAAUCUUCUCCAACGUGGAGCUCAUCAAUAGCUGGAGCUUGACAGCAACACACGCGCUAGAGCUCGACAGUCGACACCAGCACACGGCGGUAUGUAGGAUAAUUAUAGGAAAAGGAAAGUUAUUUUGUUUCUUGUGAUUAUGAUGGUAGGAGUAAUUACUACCUGAGCAGUUACAUAUCUGCAGAAAAGAGGAUUAUGUUUUUCUGUUUAUUUAUCUGAGAUUGUUUGUGUGGAGAGUAUACUACAAGGACUUAGUGUCUCAACUGAUUUAUUUCAUUUAUUGUUCCAAUCUUACUUGCGUUUUGUGUAAAAUUAGGACUGUAUUCAGUUUAACUUACAUUCUAAUUACCUUUUACUGCAGCUUUUCCUUGAGCAUGGUUAUUGUGAAUUAAAGGUGCGUUCACAAAUUGAGUAAAAAAAUUCUUCAAAAAAUUGAGUAAAAGAAAUUUAGAGCCCAAUCUUAAAGCUUUUCUUAAGUUCCCAUUCUCUUUAAACCAAUACAUUAAAAAAUGGGGUUUAGUUGGUAAAGAAGGAAAUUUUAAAUUUUGAACUUGAACUGUGAUGAUUAAUGGUUAGGUUUUUAUUUUUCAGUGGUCAACAAGUUAUUUCAGUAUUUUUUGUUUCAUUAUCCUUAAUAUCUUAGACUCUAAAGAAUAUGGGGUAUUAAAAGCUAGUUUCCUUUUUGCUCUAAAAGAAGUUUAAUAAAUAAUUGUUCUUUUUUAAUAAGUCAUCCGUACAAAUGUAAUGAAUAAAUGAUGUUUAAUAGAGAUGAUAACGGUGGAUACUAUAUUGUGUUUUGGCUCUUUUACAUUUGAUUUUUCAAAAAUGAGUUGGUCUGUUGAUUUAGUUUAUCUGUCAUAUAAUAUUUAACCUGCAAACCUCGGGUCUGUUGUCUCAGUUACUUCCCUUUCACUUAUUUCCUUUUCUCCAUGUUGUCACUGUUUUGGGCUUUCCAGAAUCAAUGGAUCACUCCAUGAUUAACUUCGUUUGAAUGUUUUCAAUGUGAGAAUGGUUGGAGAGGGUUUUGGUUCCUCCUGAAAUUCUCUUGCUGUAAUGAUUUAUGGUAUUAGGGAACACCAAAUUCUAUAGAUGGAACUUUCUAAAUUUAUCUCUGUUGUUUGCUCCCUUGUUGAUUUGGUUUUGGUGAGUUUUUAUUUUUCUUUGUCUGAGGAAUAGUUUAAUGUUGAUGGUGAAUUUCAAAUGGAUUGGUAAUGUGUCAGGUUGAAUGCUGAAUUUUUAGAAAUGUGAUGGAACAACGAACGAGGUUGGAAGACCUGGAGAAGUUGGUAGACAUUUUGGUACAACUGAGACACUGAAAUAGAGGGUUAGGUACCUGUGAAAGGUAGUAUAACAACUUAUAGUUGAGAAUUUUGGAUAUGCUUCAAUGAAAUAGAUUCUUCGUAGAGGUUUUAAAUUGUGGUCAUGGUUGCAGUUUUGUUGUAAGGUUGGAUAUUUGGGGAAAUGGCGGACAGAUGCAACUAGAGUUAUGGUGUUAUCUUGUACUGAAUUUGACAAAUGGAACAUUGUUUAUUUUUAUCUUAGUAGUAAUUUGAUGGAUGGAACAUGGUGGUGUUUUUCUCUUUGUACUAAUUGGUUGCUCCCUGGUAUCCAUGUAUGAUAGGUUUCUGAUUGAGAAACCUUAUCUUCACUCACUUCACACGCUAACAGAGUAUAGAGAAAUGCUGAAUAACCUCUGGUUUAUUGAUCAACAAGAAAGAAUACAAGAAUGGGACAACAAGGGAGCCUAACCUCCCUCCAACAAGACUCAAUUGUCUUUUCAAAACACAAGAACUGCCAAAAGUCCCUCUCCAAUACCCAACUCUCCUAUUUAUACAAACUAACAUUCCCGUCCAUCCUAACUGUUAACACAGUUAGGCCAACUAACCAACUAACUCUCUCCAACUGUUUAAUAACAGUUGUCUAACCUCUCUUCUUCCUUACAUACACCUUCAACUUCCUAUCAAUACCCUCCCCUCCAUUUUCAACCUUGUCCUCAAGGUUGAAUUUCGGAAAUUGGUCCUUAAUUAUUGUCAAGUCUUCCCAUGUCACUCCUUCUGUACCCCCAGUCUGCCACUCUAUCAGCACUUGUUGAAUCACGUCUUCUCCCUGUUGAAGUUGCCCACGUUCAAGCACCUUGGUUGGCCAGAAAGCAGGUCCUUCGGCCUGCAAUUCCUCUGGUAACGCUUUCUCCACUAUUUUAUCUCCCAUUCCUUUUUUAAUUGAGAAGCAUGGAACACUGAGUGAAUUCUCCUGCCUCUGGAAGCUCCAAUCUAAAAGCCACAUUUCCAACCUGUUGUAAUACUUUAAAUGGCCCAAAAUACCUAACUGACAGCUUGGGGUGUAAUCACACUGGCAUUGAGGAUUGUCGGUGGGGCCUUAUCUUCAAAUAGACCCAAUCUCCCACCUUCAUAUCCACUUCUCUCCUCCUUUUAUUAGCCUGUUGGGUCAUCAAAUCUUGGGCACGUUUUAAAUGAUGCUUCAACUGCUUGAGGGCCUCAUCUCUCGUCAUGAGGUCCUGUGCUACUGCUUCCACCUGUGUCUCCCCAGGAAUAAACCGACUGAAAGAAGGAGGAGGCCUUCCAUACACAAUCUCAAACGGUGUACACUUUGCUGCUCCUUGGUAACUUGUAUAGUACCAAAAUUCUGCCGAGGGUAGCAUUGAAUACCAGUUCUUAGGCUGUUCAGAAUAGAAACACCGCAAGUACCCUUCCACAAUGCGGUUUACCACCUCCGUUUGCCCAUCCGUUUCCGGAUGAUAAGAUGUACUCAUCUUGAGGUGAGUCCCUUGCAUUUUAAAAAGCUCUUUCCAAAAAAUACUCAAGAAUAAAGGGUCUCUGUCGCUCACCAUUGAUACUGGAAUCCCGUGCAACCUGAUAACCUCCUUAGCAAACACAUCAGCAACUGUUUUUGUAGAAUAUGGGUGCUUCAACGCCAAAAAAUGUGCAUAUUUACUCAGCCGGUCAACCACCACCAUAAUAGCAUCAUAACCUUUCGACUUGGGCAGCCUCACAAUGAAAUCCAGGCUAAUUUCCUCCCACACUGCCUGAGGAAUUGGCAAGGGUUGUAGCAAUCCUUGAGGGGAUGCUAUCACAUACUUGUGUUGUUGGCACACUGCACAGCUUGCCACGAAAUCUGUAAUCUCCUUAUUCAUACCCAUCCAAUACAAAGAUUGGGCUAUCCUUCUUUAAGUUCUAUAUACACCCGAAUGCCCCCCAGUCUUGGUCACAUGAAACUCCUCAAGUAGUUUAGGAAUCCAAUUGGAUUUCGCAGAUAUUACCAAUCUGCCUUUAUAAUGCAACCUGUCGUUCUCUAAAGUAUAUGCCCUUUUCGAGUUAGGAUCGUUUCUCAGAUCCUCAAUCACCUUUUGCAGCUCGGUAUCCUCCUCUACCUCCUUCAAGAUUUCUUGGAAAUCUGGCCAGAAUGGCCUAGAAAUAGCUCGCAACUCCCCUUUUUCUUGUUCUCCUUCAUGCCUCCGUGAAAGAGCAUCUGCAGCCCUAUUAGUACUUCCCUUUUUAUAUACAAUCUCAAAUUCAUACCCCAUCAACUUAGCCAGCCAGUUUUGCUGGCUCUGGGUAGUAAUUCUCUACUCCAACAAAUAUUUCAAACUCCGCUGGUCUGUGUAUACCGUGAAUUUUCUUCCCACCAAGUACGGCCUCCAAUGUUAGAUAGCUAACACCAAAGCCAUCAACUCUUUUUCGUAGAUUGAUUUACUGAGGUUAUUCUCCGACAAGGCUUUACUGAAGAAUGCUACAAGCUUCCUAUUUUGGCUCAACACAGCACCCACUCCUCCCCCCGAUGCAUCACACUCAAUACAGAACUCUUGGUUGAAAUCGGGUAACUCCAACACAGGGGCUAACGUGAUCGCUGCCUUCAGUUCCUCGAUAGCCUACUUCGCCUGUUCGUUCCACGAAAAUUUUCCCUUCUUGAGCAGUUCUGUCAAUGGUUUGGCUAUUUUUCCAUAGCCAGCCACGAACCUCCUAUAGUAACCCGUGAGCCCAAGGAAACCCCUCAACAUUUUUAAGUUCCUAGGUUCUUCCCAUUCAACCACUGCUUUAAUAUUUUUCUCCAUCCAUUUCUACUCCCAGAUUUGAAAUUUGAUGGCCCAAGUAACGUAUCUUCUUCUUCCCAAAAUCACACUUCUUCCGGUUGGCCACCCACCCAUUUCGUUCCAGCAGCUGCAUCACCAUUCCCAACUGUUUAAGAUGAUCGGCCCAAUUUGGACUAUAGACGAGAAUAUCGUCAAAAAAGACCAACACACAUUUCCUCAAAUACGGUUGUAAGAGCUUGUUCAUUGUACUCUGAAAAGUGGUCGGCGCAUUCGUUAGUCUGAACGGCAUCACGAGAAACUCGAAGUGUCCCAGGUGGGUACGGAAGGCCGUCUUCGCUACAUCUGCUUCCUCCAUCCUGAUCUGGCGGUACCUAGAUUUCAAAUCUAUCUUAGAAAAGUAUCGGGACCCUCUUAAUUCGUCCAACAGCUCCUCUAUCACCGGAAUUGGGAACUUGUCCGGUACAGUGGCCUUGUUUAGUGUCCUGUAAUCCACACAAAAGCGCCAACUUCCAUCCUUUUUCUUCACGAGUAUGACCAGGUUGGAGAACGGGCUCGAGCUGUGGCGUAUGAUCCCGGCCUUCAACAUCUCCUCAAACUGUUUUUCGAUCUCCCCCUUCAGAAUGUCAGGAUAGCGGUAUGGCCUCACAUUUAUAGGGUCUACACCCAUUUUCAACUUGAUUCAGUGUUGUAUGUGACAUUUUGAAGGGAGCCCAUGCAUGCCUUGGAAGAGCCGAUAGUGGAAUUGUAGCAGCUUUUCUAGUUAGGCCCGCUGUUCACCUGUCACAUCUGUUCCCCACUCACCGUCUUCAGCUGUUUCUAUCGAACUCAAGCCCCACACUAAUGCCCCUAACUUCGCGUCAUCUCCAAGCUUCCACAAGGAUUUUGACUUCACCAGCUGUCGCGAAAGGGUGGGAUCUCCCUUGAUCGUGAUCUUUCUAUCCCCCACGUGGUACUUCAUUGUCAUACUUCCCCAAUUUGCUCUGACUUCUCCUAAUUUAGCUAGCCAUGCAACACUCAGAAUAAUGUCGACACCCCCCAACUCAAAAACGUGGAACUCUUCCUCCACAUCCACCUCCUCCAAUCGGAUCACCACCCCAACACAACGUCCUUGGGUAACUCGCCGACACUCGUCGCCUAAACUCACUGUGUACGGUGCAGUAGCGAUCACCGGCAAGCCCAGCUCCUUCGUGGUCCUCUUGCUUAUAUAGUUGUGGCUGGCUCCGCUAUCUAUGAGAACCACCACCCUCCGUUCACCAAUAUUUCCUAUCAACUUCAAGGUUCCCCGAUUAGUCCAGCCCUCUGCAGAACAUGCCGACAACUCCAUAACUUUCUUCUCCUGAUCGUCGUUUACCUGACCCUCUUCCCCUUCGUCUUCGUCUUCUGCAAGUAAUAAUACUCGGAGACUCCUUCGGUGCAUCGAUGGCCAGGUGCGAAUGGCCCGCCACAUCGGAAGCAUCGCCCCUCCUCCUUCCUCUUAAGAAACUCAGGGUAAGGUAAAUUUCGAACCAUACGGCCUCGACCUUCACCCACAGUCGCUGCGCUCGCUCUCGCCACCGGGUUCGCUGUCGCUCCCUCUCUCCUCGCAGUUCCUCCACCCUCUAUUCUUCACCACUGAUUCGUCGCUGGCUUAGUCGCCUCCGAUCGCGUCACGCUAUCCAUGGGUCGCGCACUGAAUGGGUAUAUCUUGAACCCAUUCGCAUGGCUUCCCUACGCUCUCAUCAUAGCAUGUUCCACAUCGCGUGCGAUUCUCAUCGCUUCCAUCAACUCCGAGGGGUUCUGUACCCUCACCUGACCCUUCACAUCUUCACAUAAACCGGCUAAGAAGUAACCCAUCACCUGUACCUCCGGGAUCCCCUUCGUCUGCCCCAUCAAGACCUCAAACUGACGAACAAAUUCCUCGACUGUACCCUCCUGGCGUAGAGUGGCCAAUCGUUCGAAUACGGUCCCCCUAAAUCCACCCCCGAAGCGAUUAAUCAUGGCUUCUUUCAGCCCUUCCCACGUUCGAUUGCUUGCCUUCUCUUUCCAAAAAGUGAACCAGUAUGUUGCGCUACCCUCCAUGCUUACAUAGGCGAUCUCUACCUUUUCCUCAUCUUCCGUCACUCGUUGUAUAUCGAAGAACCUCUCUGCCCGAUUGAGCCAGCUGAGUGGUUCGUCUCCGUCAAAGGUGGGUAACUCAACCUUCUUCCUCCAAGGUUUCUGCUCCCCAGUUCUUUCACCGCUUCUCCCACCUCCGUUUUCCCCAUUUCCCCUAUGUCUGUUAUCGUUAACAGAGCUAUCGUCAGAACUGUUCUCCGUCUGAUUCCCCUUUUUUCCAGAAUCUUCAUGAUUUAUUGUAAGUCUCGAUGUAGCGCCGCAGACUCCGCUUUCAUUCCCUCCACCGUUAUCUCGAUCGCUUCUAAUCGUGCCUCCAUGGCUUUCUCCAUCUCCCCGUCGCAGUGUCCUCCACGAAAAGUAUCCGGUAGGUCGGACCAAUCUUGAUAGGGUUCUGAUUAAGAAACCUUAUCCUUCACUCACUUCACACGCUAACAGAGUAUAGAGAAAUGCUGAAUAACCUCUGGUUUAUUGAUCAACAAGAAAAAAUACAAGAAUGGGACAACAAGGGAGUCUAACCUCCCUCCAACAAGACUCAAUUGUCUGUUCAAAACACAAGAACUGCCAAAAGUCCCUCUCCAAUACCCAACUCUCCUAUUUAUACAAACUAACAUUCCCGCCCAUCCUAACUGUUAACACAGUUAGGCCAACUAACCAAUUAACUCUCUCCAAUUGUUUAAUAACAGUUGUCUAACCUCUCUUCUUCCUUACAUACACUUUCUACUUCCUAAUAAUGUACCAAGAAAGAAUGCAGGGUUGGUUUGACUAGAUUUCUCAUUUGGUAUACUUUGAUUAUUAAGGUUACUUGUAUAAUAAUUUUAUUUUUCUGUGCAUAAAAUUUGGUAAAAAUGAAAAUUUAUGAGCUGGUCCUAAUUCAUAGGGUUUUGGAGUCUUUAAUUCUUUGGACUUUUUUAAUAAAAGAUUUUUUUUUUCAGUGAAUUUUUGACCCAAUGUUAGAUAUUAUUAAAGUGUAAUGCAAAUUCUAGAAGAAUGUAGAAGCACCUUAGAUAACAGAAUUCAAAUGUAAUACAAGUUCUAGAAUGUUGUAGAAAAGCCUAAGAUAGGAAGAAAAAUCAAGAAUAGUCUACAUGUGUGAAAGUCUAGAACAUCCCACAUAAGUUAUGGCUAGUAUGCUCUAGAAUAUUCUAUGGAUCUAUAAAUACCCAUGAACUCUACCAUUUCAUGCAUGUAGAAGCCAACAUCUAUAACAACUAAGACAACUACAACACUUCUUCCAACUACUACUUCUACAUCCCACUAUCUCCAUAUUACAUUUUCUCUACAUUUUCUCUACUUUAUCAACUACUCCUUUCACAACCUCAAAAUACUAACAGUGGUACCAGAGCUACGUUCGGUCAUCUACUGGGCGUAGAAAAAAUUUUCAACUACCUUAAACAAAACUAUAACUCCAUUUUGUACUACCUCCAAAAUAUUUUCUCAACUCAUGGCUACUACCAAUCAAACAUCAUCACUUCCAGUACCUAUUUUCACAGGAGAAAAUUAUGAUUUCUGGAGUGUCAAAAUGAAGACAUUCUUCCGCUCUCAAGAUUUAUGGGACAUCAUAGAAGAAGGAUUCACUAUUCCAGAAGACACUGUAGCUCAAAAGAAGGAGUUGAAGGAAAACAAGCAGAAGGAUUCAAGGGCUUUAUUUGUUCUUCAACAAGCAGUUGAUGACACAAUUUUUCCAAGGAUAAUUGGUGCCACAAGUGCAAAACAAGCUUGGAACACAAUACAAGAGGAGUUUCAAGGAAGUGACGAGGUACGCAAUGUUAAACUUCAUUCUCUAAGACGAGAGUUUGAANUNUUAAGAAUNAAAGAAUCUGAGACCAUCAAAGACUACUAUUCUAGAAUAAAAGAAAUAGUUAGUCAGAUGAGAGCCUAUGGGGAAAAUAUUCUUGACAAAAGAUUGUUGAGAAAAUUUUAAUUUCUAUUCCCCAAAAAUAUGAUGCAAUCGCAACUGCGAUUGAACAAACAAAAGAUUUGGCUACAUUGUCAGUAACACAACUAAUGGGUUCUCUUGAAGCCUAUGAACAAAGAUUGAAAAGGCAUGAAGAAGACUCAGUUGAAAAUGCCUUUCAAUCCAAACUAAAAUUGCAGUCUCAGAAAGAAUGUGAAGGAAAUAAAAGUAGAGGAGAAAUUUCUAGAAAUAAAGAAAAUUCUAGAAGCUUCUCUAUGACUCAUCAAGGAAAAUAUCCUCCAUGUGGCAUCUAUAAAAAGACAAGUCACUUGGAAAAAGAUUGUUGGCAUCUUGGAAAACCUCAAUGCCACUAUUGCAAGAAAUUUGGUCACGUAGAAAAGUAUUGUCGUAAUAAAAAUAAGCAUCAAGAAAACUUUGUGGAAGAAGAUAAUCAAGAGAAACUCUUAUUCUACGCCAAUCAAGAAUCUUCUAGUGGAGAAGGAAGAUGGUACUUGGAUAGUGGAUGCAGCAAUCACAUGGCGAAAGAUCAAAGCAUCUUCAAAGACAUUGAUAAAUCUGUCAAUGUCAAAGUUCGGCUAGGAAAUGGCACCACAGUGGAGUUCAGAGGCAAAGGAACUGUCAUGGUGAAGACAAAGAAAGGUACGAAAUUCAUCAAGUAUGUUUUACUAGUUCCUAAUCUUAAAGAGAAUCUUUUAAGUAUUGGCCAAAUGAUGGAGAAUGGAUAUUCUCUUCAUUUUGAGAAAGAUACAUGCAAAAUUUAUGACAGUAAAAUGAUAGAAAUUGGCCAAGUAAAAAUGGAGAAGAGAAAUAGAAGCUUUCCUAUAAGCUUCAAACNUGGAACUAAUAUUGCCAUGAAGGUAGAAGUUGAUGACUCAUGGCUUUGGCAUANGAGAUUUGGCCACUUCAACACACAUGCCUUAAAGCUUCUAUAUCAGAAAAACAUGAUGAAAGAUCUUCCAUUCUUGAAGGAGAAUAAUGAAUCGUGCGAAGGAUGUCUCCUCGGAAAACAACACCGAUUACCAUUCUCGACAGACAAAGCAUGGAGAGCAAAAGACUUAUUGGAGUUGAUUCAUACUGAUGUUUGUGGACCAAUGAGAACGCCUUCACAUCACAACAACAGGUAUUUCAUCCUUUUCAUUGAUGACUUCUCUAGAAUGACAUGGGUCUAUUUUUUAAAGGCAAAGUCAGAAGUCUUCGGAGUAUUCAAGAAAUUUAAGGCCCUUGUUGAGAAGCAAAGUGGAAAGUAGAUAAAAGUACUUAGAAGUGAUCGUGGCAAGGAGUACACAUCUCACGAGUUUGACAAAUUCUGUGAAGAUGAAGGCAUAGAGCGACAACUUACAGUUGCAUAUACUCCGCAGCAAAAUGGCGUGUCAGAGAGAAAGAAUCGCACAGUUAUGGAGAUGGCAAGAUCAAUGCUAAAAGAGAAAAACAUGCCUAACACUUUUUGGGCUCAAGCAGUCUACACUGCAGUUUACAUUCUAAACAGAUAUCCAACUAAAGCAGUCCAAGACAAGACUCCUAUUGAAGCUUGGAGUGGGAGAAAGCCAUCAGCUAAACACUUACGAGUAUUUGGGUCUAUCUGUUACAUACAUGUUCCUAAUCAAAGGAGGCACAAGCUUGAAGACAAGACUAUACGAGGAAUAUUCUUGGGAUAUAGCACACAGUCAAAAGGCUAUCGAGUCUACAACUUACAAACAAGAAAGCUCAUCAUCAGUCGAGAUGUUGAAGUUGAUGAAAAUGCUUCUUGGAAUUGGGAGGAAGAAAAAGUUGUUAAAAGCAACAUUCUACUUCCAAUGCAACAAUCUCAAGAAGAAACUCAAGAAGAGGCAGAAAAUUCAGGUACGCUUUCUCCACCUCCACAACAACAAGAUUCUUCACCUGAAUCUAGUCUAAGAAGAGUAAGAUCUUUGGUAGACAUAUAUGAAACUUGCAAUAUAGCCAUGAUUGAGCCUAACUGUUAUGAAGAAGCAUCAAAGCAAGAAGUAUGGGUCAAGGCUAUGGAAGAAGAGAUUAAAAUGAUUGAGAAGAAUAACACUUGGGAACUCGUAAAUUGCCCUCAUAGAAAAGACAUCAUAGGAGUAAAAUGGAUAUAUAAAACAAAGCUCAAUCCUGAUGGAACUAUACAAAAGCACAAAGCAAGAUUGGUCGGUAAAGGCUACUCACAGCAACUAGGAAUAGACUAAUGAGACAUAUGCUCCAGUUGCUCGCUUAGAUACGAUUAGAGUCUUAAUAGCUCUUUCAGCACAAAAAGGAUGGAACAUCUAUCAACUAGAUGUCAAAUCAGCCUUUCUAAAUGGAGUGCUUGAAGAAGAAAUUUAUGUUGAACAACCACAAGGCUUCAUCAACAAAGGAAAUGAAGGCAAAGUACUAAGACUUAAAAAAGCAUUAUAUGGCCUGAAGCAAGCUCCUNGAGCAUGGUAUANCAAGAUUGAUAAAUACUUCAUCGAUCAAGGAUUCAGGAGGAGCAAGAGUGAGCCAACACUAUAUAUUAAGACACAAGGUCAGUACCAUCUCAUUAUCUCUUUAUAUGUCGAUGAUCUUAUUUAUACAGGAAACAACAUAGAGAUGAUGAAAGAAUUCAAAGAAGACAUGAUGAAGACAUUUGAAAUGACCAACCUUGGCUUGAUGAACUAUUUCCUUGGUAUAGAGGUAAAACAACAAAAAGAAGGCAUAUUUAUCUCUCAAAAGAAAUAUAUUGAAGCUCUACUAGAGAAGUUCAAGAUGAAUGGUUGUAAACUUGUCGCUACACCGUUGGUGGUAAACGAGAAGCUACAAAAAGAUGAUGGAGCAUAAGAGGCAGAUGCAUCACGCUACAAAAGUUUAAUUGUAAGUCUCCUAUAUCUCACAGCCACACGACCAGACAUUAUGUAUGCUACAAGUCUUCUAUCGAGAUUCAUGCAAAAGCCAAGUCAGAUUCAUUAUGGAGUAGGAAAAAGAAUUUUAAGAUAUCUACAAGGCACAAAUGAGUUUGGCAUAUGGUACAAAACCAUGACGAACUCAAGGAUGAUUGGCUACACAGAUAGCGAUUGGGCAAGAUCAAUGGACGACAUGAAAAGUACGCCAGGAUAUGCUUUCUCACUAGGAUCGGGUAUUUUAUCUUGGGCAUCAAAGAAGCAAGCAACAGUGGCACAAUCAACAGCAGAAGCAGAGUAUGUAGCAACUGCUGAAACAACAAGUCAAGCAAUAUGGCUUCGAAGAAUACUUGAAGAAAUGGGUGAACCACAAGAUUAGCCAACUAUUAUCUAUUGCGACCACAAAUCGGCAAUUGCAAUAGCAAAAAAUCUAGUCCAUCAUCAAAGAACAAAACAUAUAGCCAUUAAAUAUCACUUCAUUCGAGAUGAAGAGACAACUAAACAAAUUCGACUCGCAUACUGCCCAACAGAAGACCAAAUUGCAGAUAUCUUUACGAAGGCGUUACCACGACCAAGAUUUGAACUACUACGCACUAUGCUUGGAGUUACCGAAUUUGCAUUAAGGAGGAGUAUUAAAGUGUAAUGCAAAUUCUAGAAGAAUGUAGAAGCACCUUAAAUAGCAGAAUUCAAAUGUAAUACAAGUUCUAGAAUGUUGUAGAAAAGCCUAAGAUAGGAAGAAAAAUCAAGAAUAGUCUACAUGUGUGAAAGUCUAGAANNNNNNNNNNNNNNNNNNNNNNNNNNNNNNNNNNNNNNNNNNNNNNNNNNNNNNNNNNNNNNNNNNNNNNNNNNNNNNNNNNNNNNNNNNNNNNNNNNNNNNNNNNNNNNNNNNNNNNNNNNNNNNNNNNNNNNNNNNNNNNNNNNNNNNNNNNNNNNNNNNNNNNNNNNNNNNNNNNNNNNNNNNNNNNNNNNNNNNNNNNNNNNNNNNNNNNNNNNNNNNNNNNNNNNNNNNNNNNNNNNNNNNNNNNNNNNNNNNNNNNNNNNNNNNNNNNNNNNNNNNNNNNNNNNNNNNNNNNNNNNNNNNNNNNNNNNNNNNNNNNNNNNNNNNNNNNNNNNNNNNNNNNNNNNNNNNNNNNNNNNNNNNNNNNNNNNNNNNNNNNNNNNNNNNNNNNNNNNNNNNNNNNNNNNNNNNNNNNNNNNNNNNNNNNNNNNNNNNNNNNNNNNNNNNNNNNNNNNNNNNNNNNNNNNNNNNNNNNNNNNNNNNNNNNNNNNNNNNNNNNNNNNNNNNNNNNNNNNNNNNNNNNNNNNNNNNNNNNNNNNNNNNNNNNNNNNNNNNNNNNNNNNNNNNNNNNNNNNNNNNNNNNNNNNNNNNNNNNNNNNNNNNNNNNNNNNNNNNNNNNNNNNNNNNNNNNNNNNNNNNNNNNNNNNNNNNNNNNNNNNNNNNNNNNNNNNNNNNNNNNNNNNNNNNNNNNNNNNNNNNNNNNNNNNUAGGCCUAAAUGAGUCAUCAAUAGCCAAACAAUGGAAAGGAAUUCUCCACCUUUACUAAGUUGUUGGACAUGAGUGAUUGGUAUGCAAUUUGCUGCUGCAUAUGAUAAUAAUUCCACCCAUACUUGUGCCAUCAGUUCCCAUUUGUUCGUCCCCUCUAAAUGUCUUAUAACACUCGCCAAUUUACACGCAUCGAAUAACAAAGAUUUGCUCCGAUCUCCCUUCACAGCAGAGGGUUCAUAUUCAACAGACACACUAUCUAGUGCCUCGCAUGCCUUCUUCAUUUUACUUUCUGGAUCUUUAUCCUUUUCUUUUUCUUUCAAAAGAAUUCGACCACAGCGAGUGCCACUUAACCCCUAGGCAGACAAAAGUAUAAAUAUAAUGAAUGAUUUAAAAUGAUUGAAAUUUUUAAAACAUAAUUAGUGCUGAUAAAAUUUUGAACUAUAUAUAUAUGUGUGUGUGUUUAUUAUGAAAUCUAGGAAGAGUGAUAGCUUAGACUUUUUUCAUUUUAAUAGUGGUGUUAAGUUUAGAGCAUUUGUAAUUGGUGUGUGUGUAUAAUUUGAGAGGGGAUCAUAUAUUACCCUUUUGAUGAACUUAAUGAAUUCUCCAAGCUUGUCCCACUUGUCCCUUGCCUGAUAGAGAAGCCAAUUUGGUCUGGUCGACGUCAUCAUAGUUCUCUCUUCUUCUCGUUUUUCUUCUCCCUCUAUCAUUUUCUUUUCUCGAGCAGCAAUACUUCUCCUCUUGUGUAAGAAGUUAGUGGCCUCUUCACACGUGUCUAGGACGUUAGUGGCAUCUUCACGCACGUUUAGGAAUCUUUUCUGCCCAAUUCCCCUAANAGCAGACAUCAUGGAAGGUUGCAUGAUCAAGAGAUACAACAUGUAAUCCGACAAAAGCUUACUAAAAUGCCGCAGUUCAAUAUCACUAUAUUCACAAUCACCAUGNUUUACUUGCUUGAGAUCAUGAUCAUUAUUUUCUUUCUUUUUAUUCUCUUCCGUUUUCUUUUGCCCCGCUUUAUCACCAUUUACACCAUCAUCAUGAUUUCCUUUCUCGAGAUCUGGAGCUAUCUGCUCCUUAUGUUCAACAUAGAACAAGAGGUCAGUGGCAAUGUGCCACAUAAUUAGGCACUCAUCAAAGGUGACUUUGUUGCGUUCCACAUAAGGCAACAACUUGUUCCGGUCAUCUUGUGAUAGAUCUAGAUCACCUUCCCGGAUAACCCACUCUCCUCUAGAGGAACAUAUUCUUUGAAUAGUUUCAACAUCUUCUGCAUCCCCAGAUUUUCUUUUCAGCUCGUCAAAUAUAAAAAUCCAAAGUUUCUGAAGCAAUGGCCUCUUCUUCUCANACACCCAUUUUUCCACAAACUCUUCGACUCNAAUUUUUCUAAUCACCCAAUCCAACCAUUUAUUCUUCUUGUCUAAGCAACGUGAUAUCAAGUUGAAUGCCGAGAUGGUUUCAGACCAUCUACGAAACAGUACGCAUCUUUUCAAAACUUNGUAUUCCUCUUUUUCUAACCAUUUUGGCUUGUUAUCCUUGUGUUUUGUCCAUUUGGGUUUCUUAAGCUUCAGGACNNAACUGAAAGUNGUGGCUAGUUUUUUUGCUACCGUGCCAACUCUAGUGCCACNAUCAGAAUCACUGAUUUUCUGAGAGCCGCGAGAGUACAAUANUGCAAANGAGUAGUCAGAGAAAAUGAACAUGAAAAUGGANACGACUUCCAAGGAUACAGCACCAUACAACAAUAUGUAGGUGACUGUAACAUCAAAGGGUUCGCAACCCCUCUUUUCGUCAAAAAUGAAAACAACCAAAGCUGCUACCACUGAAGCAAUGGACAGAAAUCGAAANGUGACUGUAACAUCAAAGGGUUCGCAACCCCUCUUUUCGUCAAAAAUGAAAACAACCAAAGCUGCUACCACUGAAGCAAUGGACAGAAAUCGAAAAGAAAGCCCUAACCAGCUCUCUAUAAUGGUUGUCUUGGUGUAGAAAGCUUGGUAGAUGAAGUUGAGUUCAACCUCUAUCACUCUCAAAGCAUCCAAUGCUGUUCUUUGGAGAAAAUAAGUGCGACUCUCAUUGCGUUCCUGGAAGCUGUAGAUCAUGUCAACAACGAGCCCUUUGAAUUUGUUGAAGUAGUCAUAAGCAUCCUUCAUUACUUCCAAAUCCGAUAGCUCUUUCUCAACAUUUCUCUGAGUUGAAGAAUCUCCGUCUUCACGGGGGAGACCUAAAUCAAAGUUUGAAAGUGGUUAUUUUCAAAAUAAAUUUGGAUAAACGAAAAGCAAAUUAGUCAAAAUUUGGUGGAGUGAAAACAUAAUUAAUCUAAAAAUUAUAACAAUGAAUACUAUUCGGUUGAUGUUGCUUAGCUUAAGCUUUAGAUGGCUUACUCUUGGGAGUGUCUGGUUGUGCGUUGGCACUAAUGGGUGUUUCUUUCACUUGAGAUUGUUUGUAAGGGUCAAUGCCAUCAAUUUGGUCAUCACUUUUGUCUAUAGAAGGUGUCUUGGUGUGUUGAUCAUCUGGUUUGGCAGGAGCUAGUUCUGACUCAUCAAAGUACAAAUAUUGUUCUGAGAUUUCUGGCAUGGUUACUAUGUGUGCUGGAAGUCCUGCAUCCUGUCUUGAUUUCAGCUCAUCCAUGAGCUUUGCAUAAUUGGGACCUGGAUCAGCCUUUUGAAUCAUAGAUUGUCGGAAGUUGUCAGCACUUGCAUGUUGAAGAGAAAUAGUUCGUUCUGCAAAUUUGAUGACCCCUGCCAUGAAAACUAGGACUGUAGGGAUCAAUAACGUGUUUUCAGGAAGUGUCAACAGGAACACGUAACCCGUUAGACAUACCUGUCAAUAUAAAAGGUCAGAUAUUUAUAAAAUUCAUCUUUGAAGCACAUUAAAUAUAAGCUUUUAAAGUCUAACUAUCAUACCUUACCCAGUUGGAUUGUCAUAUGAUAAAACAUAAAAUAUUAAUACGAGCUUUAAGAGAUCAAUUAUAAACUUAACAAUAACAGGAGAGAAAAAAGGGUAAAAAUAAAAAUAUUAUUUUUUGCCAUACUAGAAUAUUUCCAACACACUACUCUUUUAAUGACAAAUUAAAGGAAGAGAGAGGCUACACUUUAUUCUUCGAAAGCCAGACCUUACUAUGGUUUUCACAUCUUCAUAAUUUGGACUCAUCUUGUAUUAUGUUGCUUUUAUAUAAUGAGUGUUGAUGUUGCUUUUUUUUAAGUAUUAUAUUGUUUACUUAAUAGAUAUACAAUGCAAUAUACAUGGAUUCAUGUUGACUUAAUUUCACUCCUUCCUUGCGCAUUUUCUGUACCUGGGACUUGUUUAUUACUUUCUUAUUACAGUACCUAUGGAAUAAAUUUAUAAAAGAUGAUGAAAUUUGCACAAUGUACGAAAUUGGGAUUGUCAAACAUUGUUGAAUAUAUAAAUCUGACUCCUUGAAACAUUAGAAGAGUAAAAGAAAAAUAUAAUUAUACAAGGUGAUGUAGAAUAUAAUUUUCUUUCAAAUUAAACCAACAAUGUCAAAGUGCUUGGAUAUUGGAAUAUCUAAAGCAGUAUAUUAUAUUUAAGUAUUAUGAUUGGAAAAUAUAUGUUCGUCAGAUACUACACAGAUUAAUUUUUUCUCUCAGCAAAAUACAUAUAUAUUAUAGAAUUGAAAGUAAAUUAGGUUUACCUGCACCGUGAGUCCAAGCAUGUGCCUGAGCCAAAGUUCAUUGUCCUCGAGAGAAAAAGCAGUAAUGGUGUCAGGNCCACCCAAGUGCAGCAGCAGAAAGGGUGUCCAGAACGCUCGCAAGUAGUCAUCGAUGGUGGAAACUGCCGUGUCUUUAUCACCAUAUUUGUUGGAGAUGAGGCCAACACAGAAAUCCGCUGUGACAUCUGCCACAAGGUACGUGAACCAAAGCACUGAAACCAACAAUGUAUUUCUCGACCGUUUUCUGAAAGGAGCUAUGAAUAUCAGAACUAUUUGCAUGGUCAGACUCAAAAGGACAACACCCUGAAUGUUCCAUUUGCCCCAAAUGUUCCUGGCAAAGUUUGGGAUAGGAUUUACCAUUUCCCUUUACCUUCUUUCUUCUUCUCUCUCCGACCACAUCUCUUUCUUUUCCUAUCGUCUUUCAUCGUUUUAAAUAGAACAGCAUGCAUGCAUGGAUAACAUGCCUUUUUUUUUUCUUCCCUUAAUAAUUAAGAAAUUCAAAUGAAAAAGAAAAAGUAUAUAUAUUGUUGUUAAUUAACGUAUUUAACACCGUAGAACGACAUGCAAACGUUCUUCACGCUGUAGCACUUGUUAUUCUUAAAGAACGAUUCAUCAGAGGUAGAAAAAAGAGCUAUAGUUUCUCUUUAAUUUGCUUUUGCUGACAGAUUAUUCUUUGCACCUUUUCUCUUUUGUUACAGUUCAGGUUUGGAGUGGUUGUGAUGUAGAUCUUCAUCAUCGAUAAGGAAACAAAAGAUGAAGGUUUCAGCUCUUGUCAUAUACUCUUCCUUUUCAUUCUCUAUCUUUACGUAGUUGGCGUAUGAAAAAACUACAUGUGCUGUUCUCUGCUUUGUUUCUUUUGCUUUAGUCUGUAUAGUCUUUUUGUUGGGGAAAAUGCUUCUCUUUUGCUUUGGCUGGAGACAAGUUACAUAUCCUGAAAGAGAAAGCACAAUAGAGGAACAUAACUUUGCGUCUCAAUUAGAAACCAUGUUAUCUUUCAUCACACGCCCUUCAAUUACAUUUAUUUUUAUUUUCGGAAACUGUAAUUGUUUGCUAUGAAAUGGAACAUUAGCUAUCAUAUGAUCUUGUGAAUUAUAGUAAAUUUCGACAAAAUUUUAAUUUUUUAUAUAAAGCUAUCAAGUGCAAAAUCGC